Molecule: long non-coding RNA, 465 nt
Organism: Erinaceus europaeus (western European hedgehog)
Lineage: Eukaryota; Metazoa; Chordata; Mammalia; Eulipotyphla; Erinaceidae
Exons: 2
Source: RefSeq, a predicted model, not a curated record
GAUCCUGAUGGAGUUUGAGUUCAGAGCACUGUGGUCAUCUUCCUUUAUCAUCCCACCCUCACUGGGAAUAGUGAAUCGGAAUUAUUUUUGGAAUGCAUAAGCCACCAGGUUUCAGAUGCUACCAUGACAGCAACUUGACAUCCCUGAGCUGACAACCUCACCAAUGUGACCAGGAACUCCCUGCCUCUCCAGAACCUUUCCCCAUUAGGGAAAGACAGAAAAAGGUUGGGAAUAUGGAGCAACCUGUCAAUACCCAUGUACAGUGGAGAAGCAAAUACAGAAGCCAGAUCUACCACCUUCUGUUCCACAUAAAGAAUUUUGGUCCAUACUCCCAGAGGAAUAAAGAAUAGGGAAACUUCCACUGGAGGAGAGGGGAUAUGAAACUCUGGUGGUGAAAAUUGUAUGGAAUUGUAUCCCUCUUAUACCACAAUCAUUAUUAAAUCAUUAAUAAAGAUAAAUAAAUAA